CAGCCAUUUUGAACUUAAAGUUUGAAGGCCUUUUAAAUGAUUAAAUGGUAAAAACUAACCAACAAAAUUGUACUUUGUUGUUUUAUCUGUUUUCUUUGUUUUAAACUAAUAUGUGCAGUGCAUAAAUAACUAAAAUAGAAAUAACAAGUGAUUCUGUGUUUUAUUCAAUCGUUUCAGUGGGAAUCAAAGACAAAAACAUGUUAUUUGUAUGGGUUGUUAAAGUAAACAACUGUCAAGAAAAGACUAAAAUUGUGAAAAUUCGAAAGUUCUAAUCAACCAGAGAUCGUUUCAGCAAGAAAACCUACAGACUUAACAGUUUCAUUUAGUUUGGUAUAGCAAAUUACCAACAGGAUGUGUAUUAGGUCUUAAAUUGGUGACCUACUUGUUUUUCAUAGAUUCUGGUUGUUGUCCCAAGAAGAAACUUGAAGAAGCUAUAUUUACAUUUUUAGUAAAGCAGUUAUAUUUAAGAAAGAAAAAUGAGCUUUACAGACAGUGAUAAGAAGGAGGCCAAGCACUUUGUAGAAUUUUACAUUGACAAUAUUGAGAAUCACAGUAACUAUUUCCAAUAUUAUUUAUCUGAAAAUGUUGUGCUUGAUUGGUUUGGAAAGACAAUCAAAAAAGAAAAGAAUGUUACUGCUUUCUUGAAGGACCAAAUGGGUUCUGUGAAUCAUUUCCUUUCUGACGCAGUUCCUGUUGGGAAGAUUGGUUUCAGGGAUUCUCAUAUUAUUAAAGUCCCAAGGACCCAAAAAAUGAUUCCUCUUGCUUUAAUGAGCCCUCCAAGGCCGAUCCAGCUACGGAGUGAAACUACAACUCCCAAGAAACGACCAUUGCCUUCAUCAAGUAACAACUACAGAAGAGAACUUCGCAGUAAAUAUCCCAAAGAACAGGGCCAAGGAGAUGGUCCUCACAAUCAUACGGAAAUCCCCAGUUCACCUAGGAAGAAAUUAAAAACCCCCUAUGAAGUUUCUUUAGAAAGUAUUGACACGUUAGAGAAUGAGUGCGAUUCAACAGAAAGUAGUCAUAAACUUAAAUAUGUACUAUGCCAAGGCGAUCUCGAGUUCCAUAGACCCAGCCAGAAGAAAUAUCAGAGUGAAACAAAGUGGAGGCGGCCGUGUAAACUCAGUGUAGCAUAUACUUCUCUGGGCAGUAAUCAGUAUACGAUAUAUUUGAUAAUAUACGAAGGUAACGUAAAGUGUCGUAGAAAUUUGAUGAAAGAAUUUGAUGCAGUUGACGCAGAGGAGUCUGAAAUUUAAUUGUUUCUAUGUUAGGAGUUUCGUUGUGGGAGUAUGAAAGAACAGCUUUAUAAUUAUAUUUAUAGUUUUUCAAUGCAGCAAUUUAAUGAAUAAUUAGCAAAUAAUUCUAGAUAAAAUCGGAUAUUUGUUUCAGUAGUUAUUAAUAGCAGUAAAACGUAAACUUUUUAGAUUUGUUUAUGCCACUCUUCAAUUUUUAUGACUUUUGAAUUAUUAACCAACUACACAACAACUAUACUAUAUGCUUACCUCAACAUAUCGUGUGUUAUCUACAUUUGACCUAUUUGAAUAUUUAGUCAUUAUUGUGCUUGUGAUUGUAAUUAUUAACUGUUAACACCACUUUCUCCUGCUAAUUGAUUAAAUGUGACAUUUAAAACUCAAGAAUUUCAACGUCUACAGCGCCCAGCUCUCAAUCCCCACGUUGGGCGCCAAUGUGCAAACUCUAAUCAAGGAAAUGCUAACAUGUAAACUGCAGUGUGUAAGUUGUAGAUCGAUGUGUAAUGUACAGUCGACGUUUUUAACAAUUCCACCUAGCUCUUAUCUUCUUCGUGGUACAUUCCACCUUUAUCAAAAGAUACACAGUGCUAAAUUGCAACAAUGUAAAUAAUUGAAAAAGUAUGUUGAACAAAGUCCAAGAAAUGUUUAACGAAGUCGAGAUCGGUGGUGGUUAGUUAGUAAUAAAAUCUAGCUCUAUUAAUACUCCUUCAGGUCUAUAGGAAAUCAAACUGGGUGUUUGGAGAUUUGCUCUAAUGAAGAUUGAAAUUCUUGAAGUUAUGACAAUAUUUUUGUGAUAGACGAUUGUAUGUGCCGGGGUAAUAUUCAGCAAUGAUGAGCUGUUGAAAGCUUCUGCUUUCCUGGCAGGAUCCAGUAAUGAUAGCAGAAGGUAUAUCUGAUUAUUGUUCGGAAAGACAAUCAAUUGAACAAGUUGCAGAAGAAAAUGGUCUUUUCUCAGCUAAUAGUUGUAGUCACAUUGGUCGAAUAUAGACGAUACACAACAAUUUUCUGUAUUUAAAAGUUGUAAAAAUCGAAUUCUUGUUAACUAUUUGUGAAAUGUUAAUGAUUAAUUUAUAUUUUUUUUAUUUAAUAUAUAAAUAUAUAAAAUCUAGUUAAAUAUUACAUUUUGCAACAUUAGAUAUAAAUAACAAAUAAAAUGUGUUGGGUUUUUGAUUGCCCAAUAAAUUUUAAAAAUAAUUUGUUUAUAUUUUUACUUUUUUUACAGUUUCUAAAUAAUACUGUAGUAUAAAAACAACGUAUUCAUAUUCUUUAAAUUGCUGUAUUCUUUAUAUUUUUGCAUUUAGUAAAUAGCACUUUUGUUUUAUUGUUCAGAGUUUUCAAAGUAUACACAAAAAUCAAAGAGAUAUUAUUCUUACAAUUCAAUUUAAAAAAGAUUGUCUAAAUGCCUCUCAUACUUCUAUUUUUUUAGAUAUAUUAAAAAUAAUUGAUGCUUUAAUUGUAUAAUUGGUGGAAUUUAGGUAUUGGUAUGUCAAAUGAUAAUAUUUCUACAUAAAUCAAUUUUUUGUAUAACCAAUCGUAUGUAAAGAGACGACUACAAAAAAUAUAUAUUUUUUUGAAUAAAUGUUUAAAUUGUAAAAAUUAUAGUAAAAAUGGAUAAAACACCUUCAAAAAGUCAUGAUAAUUAUCAUAGAAAACGAAGUCCGCCCGAAAAAUCCUAUCAGAAAUUUUUCGGAAUCCUUUCUUGAAUUUUAUAAGAGUUUCGAAGGUCCCAUAAACAAAAUUUAACAGUAAAUGAAUUAGUGAGAAGAGGAGCCCAAAUUUGAAGACAGAUGAGCGAAAAUAUUUGAUUCCUUUUUGUAAACUUUAAGCUAAAUUAAUGUAGUUUAAUAUAAUCAAAAUUUAACCCUCACGCACAAGUUGAAGUCCUUGUGACAAACAACUUCAGUGAGAAACUGAGUUUAUUUAUAAUGUUAUUAUUUGCUAAAAAUAAACUCUAUUAUUAUUAUUAUUAUUAUCCAGAUUUAGCCAUACGGCUCACACUCCCUCUAAGGGGAAAAUUGACUCAUCCCAGAUACCUACGGUAUCAAAAGGAUUGAGCUCUGGUGGGACUCUUUCCGUGUUAUCGAGCCCUAGGUGACUUGGAAUGCAGGUGUAUCUCCCAAAAAUUUUCGUACACUUCUGGCCGUCGCAAGUAGUACAGCUUUCUGCAUGGUCUUAUAAAGAUGUUCAUUGAGACCCAGCUUUUUUAUGCUUUCGAGGAGGGUCUUCGGAAUGACUCCAGUAGUAGAUAUAACAAUAGGUAUCGUCUGGGUACUUUGCAUUCUCCACUGUCUCCGUAUUUGAAUUUCCAGAUCUCUAUACUUGGCGAUCUUUUCAGUAAAUUUACUACGUAGAUUAUUGUUGUUAGGUAUCGCCACAUCAAUUAGUGUUGUUUGUCUUGUUAAUUUAUUAACUAGUACGAGAUCUGGUCUAUUAUGUGCCACUGUUUGGUCUGUGAGCACACUGCGGUCCCAGUAUAGCUUGUAGUUGCCAUCCUCAAGCAUACUCUCAGGAACGUAUUGAUAAUAUGGGAGAUGGUCCGUUUGGAGAAGUCCCAACUUGUUAGCUAUCUCUUGAUGAAGGAUUUUUCCCACUGCGUCAUGCCGUUCCUUAUAUUCAGUUGCAGCAAAUGCCUGGCAGCCCCCUGUAAUAUGUUGGAUGGUUUCUUGGGCUUGACAUCCAUAUCGGCAUCUGUCGUUUUGAACCUGAGGGUCUUUGACGAUAUAUUUCAGGUAAUUUCUGGUUGGUAUAACCUGAUCCUGAAUGGCCAGUAAUGAACCCUCCGUUUCAGGGAACAUCUUUCCUGAUGUCAACCAAUAGUUCGACGCUGUAUUGUCGACAUAGUCUUGGCUGACCUCAUUGGGAUGUCGCCCGUGCAGAGGUUUACCCAUCCAGGCGCGCAGUUUUUCGUCCUUAGUAAGGUGGUUUAAGCGCAUUUCUGGUUCCCUCAGUUUGAUCGGUGUUGUGUCAUCUACUGCGCAAAUUGCGCGGUGUAGAGUAGAUGUCUCAGCCUGCAUCUGAAAAUAAGUUCUUAAAUUAGCAAUUUGUUUAUCUAAUUGCUCACCUAUAUCCAUAAGUCCUCUUCCUCCUAAAUACCGGGGUAAUGUCGUUCGUUCUACUGCACUUUUAGGGUGGUGUUUUUGUGCCUUUGUGAGGUGUGUUCGUACUUUACGCUGAAGAUUUUCUAUAUCCGUUUUUGUCCACUUAACAAUACCAAAUGAAUAGCUAAGCGCGGAACAAGCGUAGGUGUUUAGUGCCUUAAACAAAUUUUUACUGUUAAGCUGUGAACGAAGCAGCUGUUUUACCCUUCUUAUAAACUCAGUAGUUAUCUCAGUUUUCAUUUGCUUAUGGUCAAUUUUCCGCGCCUGCUUUACUCCAAGAUAUUUGUACAUAUCGUUGUCGCCCAUAGCCUCGAUGUUCUGGCCAUUUUGCAUAUCGAAUCCACCGGGCUGUACCUUUCCUCUGACUAUAUUCAAAACACGGCACUUGUCUAGACCGAACUGCAUACUAAUAUCAUUAGAGAAUGUUUCUACAGUUUUUAGCAUCUCUUCUAGGUGUUCUCGAGUGGAAGCCAUUAAUUUCAAAUCAUCCAUAUACAACAGAUGAUUGAGCUUCGCUACCACAGUAUUAUUGCUUUUAAUGCUAAAACCUGAGUCAGUGGAGUUUAAUAGCUGGGAAAGGGGGUUCAAAGCUAAACAGAACCACAAUGGACUCAACGAGUCUCCUUGAAAUAGGCCCCGGUUGAUUUCGAUAUUUUCGGUUUCGAUAUUGUUUUCACCAGGUAUUUGGAGGUGAAUUUUAGUCUUCCAAUCUCUCAUUAUAUGCCUUAAAAAGGUCACUAUGUUAUCAUCGACUUUGUAUAUUUUCAAUAUAUCUAUUAGCCAUUCAUGCGGUACUGAAUCAAAGGCCUUUUUAUAGUCAAUAAAAGCAGUAAAAAGGCUCCUUUUUUUAGUGAAUGCCUGGUUAGAAAUGACUGAGUCGAUGAUAAGCUGUUCUUUGCAACCCAUGGAACCCUUAGAGCAUCCUUUCUGUUGAGGCUCUAUGAUAUUGUUUAGAGCACAAUGUUGGUAGAUACGCCGGGUUACACAGGAUGUGACCAAUUUAUACAAAGUUGGAAGACAAGUAAUUGGGCGGUACUUGGAUGGAUCUUGGGUGUUAUUUUGAUCCUUGGGUAUUAAAUAAGUAGUUCCCUGAGUUAGAAAUGAUGGUAAUUCCUGCGGAUUAGAAAUAACAUGAUUAAUUAAUGUUGAUAAGCACUCAUGAAUACUCCAAAACUUUUUAAGCCAGAAGUUCUGAACUCCGUCUGGUCCAGGAGAUUUCCAGUUAUGAAGCUCUUUGAUGACAUUUGAGACUUCUUCAGUCGUGAAUGGUUCGUAGUUAGCAGUGACGUAGUGGUGACAGUUGUGGGUCGUAUCUUCUAUCCAACCAGCAUUGUUGUUAAAAACAGCCGGUGUGGAAAGUUGAUUUCCCCAAAACUCAUGAAUUUCUUCUUGGCUUGGGUAAGACUUGUCGACACUUUCUACGGUGGAAUUGAGUUUUCGGUAGAACGCCUUCUCAGAGUUCUCAAAAAGUGCAUUGUCACAUUUUCGGUUGUUACUAACUUUAUACCUUCUUAAUCGUCCUGAAUAGACGGAGAGUUUUUGUUUUAAUGUAUCCAGACACUGUUGGGCUGUGUUAUUUUCUGGAUCGUAUCUCGAGUGUCUUGCAGUGCUCCGCAUAAUUUCUUCAGCUCUCUUAAUGACCUUUCUACUUGUUACACCUCUUACAUAUUCUGUAACUUGACCAAUAUCCCUACGCAGUAAUUCAAUUUUUCCGAGAAGUCUUUUUUCCCAGGGUGCAGUUCUGUUACCAGUCCUUCCGUUAUUAGUACCCCGUCGUGUUCUGAUCUUAACGCCCAUUACAUUAGCAAUUGCUGUUGCUGCACAGUAGAUUAGCAUAUGCAGAUAUUCCAGUGUGUGGGCUUCUACGACAUGAUUGGGUAGGACUUCAGUGUUCACAAUUUGUAACAGCGCACCUAGUUUCUUACAAGAGUUUAUUCGUGGUAGCGGUGGUCUGCUAAGUGGAUUUGUUCCAUUAAACUCUUGUACGGCACGAGCCAUUUCGUUUGCUAGACUAUCGCGCAACUCGUUGUUUUCCUGCUGUGUAUUGUCAGGUAGAGUUUCUGGUAUGGGAAUCUCAGGGAUCUGCUCAUCAAGGAUUUCAUUAGGGACCUGAUCUAAAACUAGCCCUUGAUUGUUAAUCUCCCGUUCGACUUCGCUUUUGAUCGUAUUGCGUCUAGCCUCUGGGAUAAGGUUGUUUCUUAUGAUUACCCGGUAUUGAUCUGAUACUCUUUGCUCCGAUACUUGAAUAUCUGGGUACUCCCUGCAAAAUUCGGCAUACAGCUGUUGUCUGUAGCCGAUCGUUUCUUGACCGAAGUUUGUCACCUUAUAAUAGGAGCGCAAAAUGCUUUCGUUAAUGGACACAGUCCAUUUCAUGCGCUGCCUCGGUCGUCCCGCUUGAGUGAGCGCCGGCUGAUGUUCCAGCGCAGCACCUUCAGCGGGUGGAGCUCUUGCUGUUGUUUGGCUCGCUUGUGGUUGUUGUUGUUGUUGGGCUGUAGCUGAUUGUAUGACAGGGGCCCGCCUCCUCAACACCCUGCCACCGACGUCCCGCAUGCUGUCACGUCCAGCGCCGGCUCCAGACGUGCCCUGGCGAUCCCCAGGCAGCGAUCCUAAACAUAAAUUACUAUUCUCCAUUCUCAUGGGUGUGCAUUUUAUACCUACUGCCAGGUGUCAGUUUUUGUUCCACGGCAAGUAUCCCUGCUACUCUCUGGGUACUGGCGCUACGAAUACCCAGAAAGCAUCCCCCAUUCGCAGGGGGCCGCGCCUGAUAGAAGAACUGACAAAAAACUCCCACAGGCUUUGAUUAUUAUUAUUAUUAUAUUAUUAUUAGAUCAAUCUAAGAAUUCAUGUGUUAAUUUGGUUUUCGCAUUUCGCUUUAACGACUUUCUUCCUCUUCCUUCUCCCCCUCUUCCUCAGUCGUAAUCCCGAUGAUAGUGACACCAUCAAAUUUUUAUAAUUUUUUUCAAAUCACCUUCUAUCCUUCUUUCUAGUGGGCUAGCUGUUCGGCUUCGUGUAAUCCUCGGUUUAAUCAGAAUUUUUGUUUGAUCUGCCAAACGGCUUGGAGAUCUUCCUUUAGAUAUUUUUCUUUCAAUUCUGCCCUCUAUUAUCAGUUUUUUCAUCGUACCUGUUCUUCUGACAAUGUGUCCAAAGUACUGCAAAUAUCUCUGUUGUAUUUGUUUCAGCAAUCUAUCUUUUUACUAGACUCGUUCUAGUAUUGAUACAUUUGUUCUAUGUUCAACCCAGGAUACUCUUAACAUGCGACCGUGUGGAUACGUCUUAAAAGUCUAUUUUAUUUGCAUCUGCUUUUUUCAUGUUCCACGUUCUGGAUGCAUACAUGGCUAUAGAAAACAAUAGUGCUCCUAAAAACCUUAAUUUUCUCUGUACUAUUUUGAUCGAGUUUGUCCAAAUUGUUACGUUGCAUCAUAUCUGCUCUUGCAAUAGUAAGCUUUCUACAUAUCUCCCCAUCGCAUUCUCCUUUGUGUGUUAUGAGACACCCCAGAUAUUAGUGAUGUUGAUUAUAGUUACUUUCGAGUAUUCGUUAUAAAUCGUUACUUUUGUAUAAAGUAAUCAUUUAAAGUAUUCGUUACUUUGAUUACUUUUGUAUUUGAGUACCGGUAAUCAUAUCGAGAAUCGCAUUUCUCAGUACAUAUUUUGUAUUAGUACUAGUAGGAUAAUUUGAUUACCUACUAUGGUUACUCUUGUAUUUGAGUACCAGUAAUCAUAUCGAGAAUCGUAUUUCUCAGUAUUUUGUAUAAGUAUAAGAUCCGAUAUAAAAACCUUCACCGAUCUAUUUAAUGGAUAGAAAUUAAAUGAUAUGUAAUUGCUCUGUCAUUGCUGCUCCACAAUAUCAGUCUUCUUCUUCUUAAAGUUCCAUCUCCUAUCGGAGGUUGGAUAUCAUAAUGGCUAUGGUCACUUUGUUGGCUGCUGCCCUGAACAGUUGUAAUGAACUACAGUUAAACCAUUCUCUAAGGUUCCUCAGCCAGGAGAUGCGUCUUCUUCCUAUGCCUCUUCUUCCUUGCAUAAUAUCAGUAAUCUCGAGUAACCUUUUUCCAUCAAUUAAGUGCCAAAAACAAACCCUCGAAACUCUAGAUGACGUACCUUAGCAAUAACCCUGGGCACCCAGGUGCUUCGGAGGUCGGUUCUGAUUGCAAAUUCGUGUUCAGUGACCCUAAAUACCCCGAAAUAAGAAAAUCUGUCCCUUAAAAUACUGAUUUUAACAUGUUUAUGCAUUUUUCGAUGCGUUUUUUCGACCGAAGCUUUUCACCUCGCAAUUUUUACAGAAUGGAUCGAUUUGCCUGAAAAUUUAAGAAUAAGUAAUGGAUAGUCCAAGGAUCAAAAUCUAUAUGAUGCCGAAAGGCGCUUUUACCAUGGGGGUGGUUGCCACCCCAUCUCGGGGGUGGAAAUUUUUUAUUAUAUUUUGACCAAAAAAGUUGAUAAAAACAUCAAUUCUAAGCAAAAAAUGUUCUAUACAUUUUUUUGAUAAAAUUAAUUGUCUUCGAUUUAUUCGCUAUCGAAAGUGUUAGUUUUGUAUAGAAAAAAAUCAACGUUUUUCGAUAUAGAUACUCAUUUACGAUUCACUCAAUUUUUGCCGUAGAAAAAUUUUUUCAAACCAGGUUCUUAGGAAUUAAAUAACCUACAAUUUUAUAUAGAAACAUUUUUUCGUAUCUCUGAUGCAAAUCUUUCUAUUCUGAAGAAAAUUGCAUUUUUUACCAAACUACAAAAAUUUGUUAUUCGCUUUUAUUUCCAGUUUUUUUAAAACUAAUCAUUCUAAGCCCGUCAAACUUCUAGAAUCUAUUAAUAAUACAUAAAUAAAUAAGAAUGAAUAAGGCCAAUGACCAAAAACACCGCUAACUUACAUUACUAUGCUUCCAAUUUAAUUUCUUUUUUUUUCAAAAAAAAUAUAUUGAUUUUUUAACCGUAACUUUUUUAUUUUUCAUCCUAGAAAGUUGUUUAAAAAUAAGUUUGUAGAUUUUUACAAGAUCUGUAAGCUUAUUGAUAUUAAAUCUUUUUAAAAUCUUCAGUGGCAAAAAGAGGUGACUUUGAAAGGAUUGGUAAAGGUGGUUUUUUCAUGUUAUUACAAGUUUUAAUUGUCAAUAGCUCACUCAAUUUUUGUUAUAGAUAAAAUGUUUGCAAACCAGUUUCUUGGGAAUUAAAUCAGCUACAAUUUCAUAUUUAAACAUUUUUUCGUAUCUCUGAUGCUAAUCUUGGUAUUCUGAAGAAAAGCCCAUUUUUUUCCAAACUACAAAAAUUCGUUAUUCACUUUUAACACCAUUUUUUUAAAACUAAUCAUUCUAAGCCGGUCAAACUUCUAGAACCUAUUAAUAAUACAUAAAUAAAAAAGACUAAAUAAGGUCAAUGACUAAUUUUAAUUAGGGUGGUGAUUGGGGGGUUGCUUGCUAUCACUUUUUCGCUGAAAAAAAUAGGGACUGACAUUCUUUUCAUUAUAAGUCACUUAAUUUUUGAGCCAGAGCCUUUUUUUUAUUACUGGAAAUAGAUAUUACUAAGUACUUUAAAUUUGUCUGAAUAAGUUGUCCUUGAAAAAUGCAUAGUUUUCCCGUCUUUUGACUUUGAAACUACCAUAUUUAGCAUUGGACGAAGAAGAGCCAACAUAUAAUAAAGUAUAGUUCGGUUACUAUUAGUCUUAAAGAAAAUUUAAAAAAACGGUUUUGUUUAUUUUUUCAAAAGGUACAUUUUUGUUAAGCAAAGUUGUUUAGAUAAAACGAAAACUUUGGGAGUUAUUAGCAGAAGACUUAUUAAAAACAUUGAUUUUUUCGAUAAAAAACUAACACUUUCGAAAGCGAAUAAAUCGAAAACUAUCAAUUUUAUCAAAAAAAUGUAUAGAACGUUUUUUGCUUAGAAUGAACGUUUUCACCAAUUUUUGCGAUUAAAAUAUAAUAAAAAAUUUCCACCCCUGAGAUGGGGUGGUAACCACCCCCAUGGUAAAAGCGCCUUUCGGCAUGAUAUAGAUUUUGAUCCUUGGACUAUCCACUACUUAUUCUCAAAUUUUCAAGCAAAUCGAUCCAUUCUGUAAAAAUUGCGAGGUUUUGUCCUAUUUUAAGCUUCAUUACUUGGACUAAGUACUUUGUAACGAAUAGUCACUUUUUCAACAUCACUACCAGAUAUACGAAGCUAUUUACCAUUUCGAAGCCCCCAAUCCCUGUAUGAAAAUUGUUCUGUACUCUGUCUACUAUCUUGAUUUGUUGUCUUACUCCUAUUUAGCUGUAACCCAUAAUCUUUGUUUUUCUCCUCCAGACGUCUCAUUCUGUUUUCCAUUUCUUAUUGUUUUAUUCUUCUUACAUUACUGCAAAACAUCAAUGAGAUAUUGUAAAUUGAUUGAUUUUGUGUCUUUACCAUCAUAAAUUGUACUGGAUUAUGAUUUUCAGUUUUGUCCAGGACAUUUAUGCAGUGUUUCGGACGUUUCUUUUUUUACUCGUUUCUAACAGUAUUUAAUAAUGUGUAGUUAAUUUAUCAUACCAAAGGAAAAUAAAUAAUUGCUUACCUCAUCAAGGAUGAAUUUAGCUAAUUGAACUAACAACAAGAUAAGGGUAGUGUUGUGUAAAUAAAACCAUGCGAAAGUUUUUGAAGUAUUCUUUGCUUUUGUAUGAAUCAUACUAAUAAACGUACUUUAGGUAUUAAGUAGUUUUUUUAUAUUAAUAAAGCAAAUAUUUUUCAUUAACUUUUUGUCUUACUCAACUUUUAAGACUGUUUAAGCAACUAAAGAAUUACAGACAAAUUUAGAUCUGGCUGGCCAGAUCUAAUAAACCAAUAUCUAAAUUUCACCCAAAUUACUGUACUGUACUUGUCUAACUUCUUCCCAGCUUAUUUUCUGAACUUCGGGAAAAAGUUAAUUGUAACAUGGCGGAUAGACAUCAUUUUGUAAGAUAAUUGUAAUUUUAAAUAUCGCUGGUCCGGAAGAAGAAUGACGUAUCUGCAAGUUUUGUCAAUUCCUGUUUAUUGCGUAAUUAACUUCUAAAAUGCUGUGUACAGAUGAUACAAAAACGACAGAACUGUAACUAUGUUCUGAUCCACUACAGGGUAGUUGCGUCGUUAUUGAAAUACGCGCUGUUUUAGACCUUGUUUCACAAUGGCGCAGCUGUAGAUAGGGUUGAAAAUGGGGCGAUUAAAUCAAGAUAAUAAAAUUCGAACCAGUAGUGAUGAUAAUAAAGGCCAUCGUUGUAAGAAUAACCGCCAUACUAAAUAUUUAAAAAUGGUUUUUUGGUACAGAAAAAUUUUAAGAUAAAGCAUGACGCAACUGUAGAAAAGGAUUAAAUUAAGAUAAUGAAAUUUGAACCAAUAGGGAUGAAAAUAAAAGCCAUUAAUGUCAUACCGAUCCUUCUGGGCGAUUCUUCUUCUUCUUCAGCAUGUUUGUAUCCACUCCUGGACAAAGGCCAUGAAGAAUGAAUGACGCAACUGUAGAGAGAGUUGAAAAUGGGGGAAUUAAAUUAAGAUAAUGAGAUUCGAACCAAUAGGGAGGAAAAUAAAAACUAUCGUAAGAAUAAAUGCCAUACCGAUGCUCCUGGACGAUUAUUGUUCAUUUAAUCCCUAUUUUAAAUACCGCACCCUCAGUGCAAGACUACAGUAACUCAAAAUUUUAUGAAAAUGAAGUAAUCAUGGAAUUCGAUUGAAAACAUGCAUAUCUAUCCCCUGUAAAACUUUAGUAACUUUCAAAUGCUUAAUGGGCUAAAUAUUACAACAACAACAGUUUCACUAUUUUGCGUUUUUGAACAUAAGUUCCGUGCAAAACUGUUGUAACUCUAAUGUAAUAGAGUUACAACAGUUUUGCACGGAACAUUGCAACGGAUUCGAUAACAAGCAAUGAAAAAAGUAAGAUAUUUGUUAUUUUAAUAUCUAUAUCUGUGGUGUUUAAUUUUAAUAUACAGCGCGUCUACGUAAUCCAUUAACGGCUGAGACAAUAAACAAAGAUUUUCUAAUAAAUUUUAAAUUUCUAAUAAAUUCUAAAUAAUUCAUGUAAAUUUUAUGUCCUUUGUGUGAUAUUAUAUUUAUUUUCCAUAAGAUGUUUGCGAUGUCGUUCGACCAUUUAUUUGUUAGAUUGGAUUAAAACCACAUAAAUUAAGACUAAUUAUUUACGACCAAAAAGUAUUUUUUCUCAUGAAAGGAAAAACAGUUAUCUUAAAACUUGUGUAUUGACAAUACUGAGAGGUCAAAAAUAUCUAUUCUCAGAAAACUUGCCAAAGAACAGCAAAAAAUUCAAAUGGCCAAAAAGAAAGAUUUGGUAUACUUAUGCCAUUCGGGUAUGAUACCAGAAGCCCACCAUAGUUUUUAUAAAAAUAUUUUGGCACCAGAUGAUGUACGAGAAGGGGACAACAACUACGGUAAAACCUGUCAGCAACGGCCACUAAAAAUGAAAGAACUCUUGGCCGAUAUAGAAAGGUGGCCGGUAUUGCCAGUUUUUGUAGUCUAGAUAUACAUAAUUGGUUUGGGGAAUUUUUAAACUGGCCGUUAGUACAGGUGGCCGUUGGUGGCAGGUGGCCGGUAACACAGGUUUUACUGUAAAAGUAAAUGUGUCUACACUUUUUACAAUUUUCUCCGUGCAAAACUGUUGUAACUUUGAAAUUCUAAUACUAAAUGUGUAGUGAUUAACAAUUUUUUCCGUGCAAAAGUGUUGUAACUUUGAAAUUCCUAAUUUUUUUUGCAUUAAUAUUAUUUUAUUUAAAUUUAUAUUUUUGGUUAAUGUAAUAUAGGCUGAAAAGCAUGCAAAAUCUUAAUCAAAUGUUCAUUUUUCUUAAAACUUGUGUCUUAUUUCACCGAUAUUAGCACGAAAAUAAACAAAAUCGUCUUUAUCUCGAAACUUACUUAUUUUGACUUACUGCAGUCUUGCAUUGAGGGUGCGAUAUUUAACCGCUUAACGCACACAUUUAUUUGCAAAAAUACGUCAAAAAAUUAACUAUUUAUUUUAUUACAGUAAAAUAAACUACGUACAAGACUAUUGUCACUAGAUAUAAUCUAAAGUAAAAAAGAAUAUUUUAUUAGAAAUAUAUAAAAUAACAAAUACCCUCAUGCGCUCACCCGAGUUAACUCGGUCGUAACUUUUUACAUACAAAAUACUACAAGUAAGAGAAGAAAAUCGCAAUUAUUCAAGUAUAAUACUGUUAAAUAUUGCUAACAGUGUAAUACACUCUAAAACAAGGGGUUACACACAGGUACGUCACAGUCAGGGCAGAACGUGACGUCAGCAAAAUAGAAUUCUACUCAUCGUGAUCCCACCCCAGUCGGCAGUCGAUCGUAGAAAGUUUAAAAUUAGAAACGAGAAAACAAGAGGGACGGGCGCCCAUAUAAAAAUUUUUAGGGGAGGCCAGACGUGAAGAUGUUGCAGAUUACAUUUCGUAUACUUUUGAUAACCAUAUAUAGGUUAAAGCACCCGAAAAGCUAGGGGGGGCACGGCCCCCCUGCCCAUAGGUGCGGGUGCCCAUGCAAGUGGGGAUACCGUUAUUUAGCGCUAGAGGAGUUAAAACGCGUAGGCGCCUUAUAUAUCGUACAAAUAUUUUAAACACGAGUUAACUCGGUUAAGCGAAAAUAGAAACGUAGUUUAAAACCGAGUUACCUCGGGUAAGCACGUUAAGCGGUUAAAAAUCGUUUUUCUGCUCUCCUGAAGAAAUUUGCUUUUUGCAGUUACAUCAUUCUUCCGGACCGGCGAUAUGAUCAUAUGGCAACUAGUAUCUCGCACCUUUCAAGUUCUUUACAAAGACACCUACACCUAUACAGCUGAACUAAGUUUCAUGUUCGGUUUGUGAUGAAAAAGUAAGUUUUUUUUACUGAAAAAUGAGACAUUAUAUUCAAAAAUACUGAAAAAAAGUCUAGAAAAUAUGAUGCGCCAAUUGUUUAACGAUGGUAUUUGAAAUGUAUUUCGAGGUUUUUGGAUUGAAACUCAUAAUUGUGUAGGUCUCGCUGAAAAUAACUUAAGGGGGAAGUCUACUUUGACAAGGGAAAAAACAGGCCGAUUUUCCGGAUUUUUUUCCAACAAAAUAUGACUCGUACAUUAAAUUACUUUAAACCGCCAUCUUUAUUAUAUAUUCAAGUACAGUGGAACCCCGAUAAGUCGGCCCCCGAUAACCUGGAGUUCCGGCUAACCCGGACCGAUUUUCGUCAGACAUUUCAACAAUAAAAAUGUAUGUAAUAUAAUAUUUGAGAGAUAAUGUGUGUUUGUGUAAUUUGAACUAUACGAUAGUAAAAAUGACUCAUGGCACACGGCGCCGGCAGCAGAGCGACGUUAUUAUCGGAAACAACAAGCACCUGUUAUUCCUUAUUUAUUUCCAACUGUCUUAGCAUUAUUUAAAAAAGACUAUUUAAAAAAAGACUAGACUAUUUAAAAAAUUCUUUUUUAAACAAUGGUCUUAUGUUUUCACUGUUCUUAAAUAACAUAACAUCCUUCCGAUUGUGACUGUAUUGUGUGUAGUACAGCCUUGUAUUGUUCGCUUCCGUUUGCUUAGGUUUGUGUUUGUGUGUUUUUAGUAAUUUAGAUGUGUAGGUACUGUGCAUAUAUUUCAUGGUAUUUCAAUUAUAACGGAGUUUAUCUGUAAGUAUACCGUAUUUUAUUAAUUUUUACCAUAUUCUCCGGCUAACCCGGAUUUUCGAUAACCCGGAUUAGCCGCGGUCCCGAUUAAUCCGAGUUAUCGAGGUUCCACUGUAUUUGUAAAAAAAAUUCAAGUCGAAAUAUUCAAAAUUGCCAUCGUGACACUCCUUCAAGCGCAGGUCCGUUUUUUAGGUGCCCAAACGAUGUACAGCUGGUUCCUAAAAAAACUGAUACGACUCUUAGUAAGAUUUGAUCAUUUUGAGCAGUGUAUGAUUGGUCUGACAUUAUAUUAUAUUUAUUAUGACGGACAAAUAAUAAAAUAAACAAACAAACAGCCAUUUUUUGAGGUUGAAGUUAUCUGACAAAUUUAAGAUUUGGCAGUAACAGUGACAGUAUGUAAAUAAUAAGUAUUUAUUCUUCAGAAUAUAAUAAAUUAAAUAUAAUUAAACUCAUAUUCAUUAUAUCACACCUCAUCAAAAGCUUUUUACAAGAAGAUAGUCAGCGAUUUUGAUAUGGCUUAGAGCCAGACUACAUCAAGAUCGCCUAUAAAUCGUGCUGGUAAUUGCAUUGCAGCGAGACCAAAAACAAAAAGAAGAAGAAGACGAAAGUACACUGCUCAAUUUUCUACAAAAUACGCUUUAAGAGUCGUAUCAGUUUUUUUUGGAACCAGCUGUACAUGAAAUCUCACGUCUGGGUGAUCUGAAACAAAAAACAAAAUAUGGUUAUCAUCUACAUUGUAUUGACUCUCGUCUGACGGAGAAUUUUUUUGAUAUCGUUUUUUGUUUAAUUGUUAUGUACAAUAAUAACAUAAAAUUUGGGCAAAAAAAUAGAAAAAAAUUUCAAGAAUUUUUUUUUCGGCGUCAAAAUUUUUAAUCGACAAAAUCAUCCUCCGUCAGACGAGAGUCAAUACUAUGUAGAUGAUAACCAUAUUUUGUUUUUUGUUUCAGAUCACCCAGACGUGAGAUUUCAUGUACACCGUUUGGGCACCUAAAAAAACGGAUCUGCGCUUGAAGGAGUGCCACGACGGCAAUUUUGAAUAUUUCGACUUGAAAUUUUUUUUACAAAUACUUGAAUGUAUAAUAAAGCUGACGGUUUAAUUUAAUUUAAUGUACGAGUCAUAUUUUGUUAGAAAAAAAAUCCGGAAAAUCGGCCUGUUUUUCCCUUGUCACAGUAGACUUCCCCCUUAACAUAUAUGCUUUCAAUAAAUGGAAUAUUACUUGUCAUAUCCCAAAUAAAAUUAUCUUACAAAAUACGUUCACUUACCAUUUUCAGUGGUUACGUAGCUGAAACGUCAUAAAGACAAUGAGCAAAUACCUUAGUUCAUCAGUUAUCGAGAAAUUUAUUAAAUAAAGAGAAGGAGAAGACUUUACACGUACUAUUAUUGUAUACGUUCAAGUAUUGUGUUAAUUAAUAGCUUUAUAAUAUUUAGCAUAGUGCAAUGGUUCGUUGUUUAAAUUUAAUAUUUAGGAGCGAACAAACAUUGCAGGUUCUUUUGUUUAAAUAUGUUUGAUCUUAUAUUUGUUGGUUGUACCUGUCAGUGCAAAUUGUGUAUAGAUUUGUAAUUUUUUUUUCGAAAUUUGUAAUAUUCGAAAAAUUUAGCAUGUAUGUGCGUGAAAUAUGAUUAGGUAUGUGAAAUCAGAAGAAGUAAAAGUAUUUGAAAUAAGCGUUUUCGAUGAUGAAAAUAUUCGUCAUUGUACUUUAUAUACUCUUAUCCAUUUAACACAAUAUUUUUCCUUUUUUUAUAUAUCAUCAAGUUAUUGUGAUAAUUUUUUAAUAUUUUGUGACGUAGAACUUACAUAUUUUAGUAAUUUUAUUUUUAAAUCAGUGAUUUAAAAUAACUGUUGUUUAAAAUCACACGCUUCUCAGACAAGUAUUAAGAAAGUCUCGUUUUUGUAUCGAUAGUUAUUUCACGGCUCUUCUAAAUUUUUGUUAAUUUGGCACCAGAGUUUUUUGCAUUUUCUGACCGGCGCUUUAUUUCUUCAGUACAUCCCCCUUGUUAGUUACUCCAUCUGGGCUAGAGCCAGAUAUAAAAAUUUAACUACAACAGCGAUGUUGUUUAUCGCCGUUAGAUUGUUGUUAGCUCUGUCAAUGUUAUUAUCAAUUUUCUCGUUUUGUCUCUUAUUUUAUCUUAUUUUAAGAACCAUUGUAGACGAAGAGGCAGCGCUGAAAAAUCUCUUUGAAUUUACUAAAGCUAAAUUUUUCAUAGUUGAUUACUGUGAUUGUGUAGAGAAACAUACUGCGGUCGGUCAAGCGAAACGUAGAACAGGGGUUACUGAGAGGGUAUCAAAGUUGCUUUCCUUCGAAGGUAAUUAAAUCCAUUUACUAAGGCUGAAAAUCAGUACACACGUUCUAAAUUAAAUAUAACUAAAAGUUAUUAUAGUCGGUCAGCUGUAUGACGGGACAGAGCCGGUCGAUCGGCCCCAAUGAAUGUACAGGGUUAUUCACUAUAUUUUGAACCCCGUGUAAACUGCUUUAUUUACAGAAUUAGAAAAAAAUGUAAAAUACAAAAGUUAUUCGAUUUUUAAUUAUGAUUUUCUGACAUAUAUAUCGUACUAGUGACGUCAUCCAUCUGGGCGUGAUGACGUAAUCGACUAUUUUUUUAAAUGAGAAUAGGGGUCGUGUUCUAGCUCAUUUCAAAGGUUAUUCAAUUCUCUAUAAUAUAGUACUACAGUAAAACCUGUGUUACGGCCACCUGAACUAGCCGGCCAGUCUCAAAGUUCCUCAAACCAAAAUUUGUGGACUACAAAAACUGGUAUUAGCGGUCACCUUUUUAUAUCGGCCAAUAUUUCUGUCAUUUUUAGUGACCGUUAUUGACAGGUUUUACUGUAUAAACAUUAAGAUUAUUAUUUAUACAGGGUGUCCAAAUUUUUUUUGAAUUAUUAAUUAAACAAUUAAUUUAAUUAAAUUUUUUUUUGAUACUCUGUAUAAUUAAUCAUGUUAAUGUUUAUAUUACUGAAUAGGGAAUUUAAUAACCUUUCAAAUGAGCUAGCAAUCGACCCCUAUUCCCAUUUAAAAAAAUUAGUCGAUUACGUCAUCACGCCCAAAUGGAUGACGUCACUAGUACGAUAUAUAUGUCAAAAAAUCAUAAUUAAAAAUCGGAUAACUUUUGUAUUUUACAUUUUUUUCUAAUUCUGUAAAUAAAGCAGUUUACAAGGGGGUCAAAAUAUAAUGAAUAACCCUGUACAUUCACUGGGGCCGACCGACCGGCUCUCUCCCGUCAUACAGCUGACCGACUAUAAUAACUUUUAUUUAUAUUUAAUUUAGAAUGUGCCUGUGUACUGAUUUUCAGCCCUAGUAAAUGGACUUAAUUACCUUCGUAGGAAAGCAACUUUGAUACCCUUUCAGUAACCCCUGUUCUACGUUUCGCUUGACCGACCGCAGUAUGUUUCUCUACACAAUCACAGUAAUCAACUGUGAAAAAUCUAGCUUUAGUAAAUUUAAAGAGAUUUUUCAGCGCUGCCUCUUGGACUAUUGUAGCAGUAAUCAGAUCAACCUCGGAACUAGCGAGGAUGGUUGUAUCAUCCUUAUUUCUUAAGUUGCAAAUCUUCUUCCCUUCGAUAGUGACGCCACCAUUCCAGUCCUUUGUAACUAUCCACAUUAUACGUUCACCAUACAUGUUGAAUAGAAUUUAGCAUAAUAUGCAGCUGAGACUUGCCUCGCGCUCUUAUAGCUCUGAAACUUUCGGUUAGUUCCCAAUGUCGAAAGCUUUAAUAUAAUCUAUGAAGCACAGAUAUGUUGAGAUGUUGAAUUCUCUGGAUUUUUCUAUAAUUUGUCGUAGUAAAAUUUGUUCCAUAGUAGUCCCAUUCGUCCGGGGACGAAAUCUGCUUGUUGCUCCGCAAUUUCAGGAAGUAAAAAGAGCUUUAUCCUCUCUAGAAUUAUUAUGUGUUUUUCUUCUUCUUCAGGUGCCAUCUCCGCUACGGAGGUUGACAAUCAUCAUAGCUAUUUUAAUUUUUGAGGCAGUAGCUCUAAAUAGUUGUUUUGAGCUGCAUCCAAACCAUUCUCUCAGGUUCUUCAGCCAUGAAAUUCGUCUUCUUCCGAUGCUUCUUCUGCCAUCUAUCUUUCCUUGCAUUAUGACUCGCAGGAUGCCAUACUUCUCGCUCCGCAUCACAUGUCCGAGAUACUGUAGCUUUCUUUCUUUAAUUGUAAGUUCAACUUCCUUCUCUUUACCUAUUCUUCUCAGUAUUUCAUUGUUCGUAACUGUGUCUACCCAGGAAACCCUCAUAAUUCUUCUAUAGGUCCACAUUUCAAAGGCGUUAAGUCGUCUCGUUGUCUCUACAUUUAACGUCCAUGAUUCCACUCCAUAGUAUAGUACACUGUAUACGUAACAUUUUGUUAGGCGUACUUUAAGAGCUAAUGUUAAAUCUUUGCUACAUAGGACCUUUUUCAUUUUCAUAAAAUUAGAAAGUGCUUUUUCGAUUCUGACUUUGAUUUCUGCAGUGUAGUCAUUAUUUUCUGUUAUAAGUGUUCCGAGGUAAGUGUACUUUUUUACUCUUUCGAUCUGCUGGCCCUCUACUAUCAAGAUUUCGUUAUUAUUAUGGUUGUUUUUACAAAUUUUCAUAAACUUCGUCUUUUUGAUAUUGAGAGAGAGUCCGUACUCCCUACUACACCUUACUAUUUUACUCAUGAGUCUUUGCAGGUCUUGUAAACUAUCGGCUAUUAUUACUGUAUCAUCUGCAUAUCUGAUGUUGUUAACUAAGACUCCAUUUACUCUUAUGCCGACUGUUUCAUCUUCCAGAGUUUCUCGCAUUACCUCUUCAGAAUAAGCGUUAAAUAAUAGAGGUGAUAGUAUGCAGCCUUGCCGGACUCCUCUCUUUAUUUCCAUUUCUUCAGAUGUUUCUUUUUCAAUUCUUACUAUUGCUCGCUGAUUGUAAUAGAGGUGUGUUAUUAGUCAAGUCUCUUUCAUCUAUGUUUUUAGUUUUCGGUAAAGAGGACGGUUAACAUCCAAACAUCUCUGUGUAAGCACGUUGAAGGAGAAUAAUGCCUCUCUGGUACCCAUACCAUUGCGGAACCCUUAUUGAGUGUCACUAAUAUCUAGCUCCAGGUUAGAGUGUAUUCUGGCGUGGAUAAUUUUCAGCAGAAUUUUCAAGGUAUGUGACAUUAAGCUUAUGGUUCGGUAGUCACUGCAUUCUUUGGCAUUCACUUUCUUUGGCAAACACACAAAUGCUGAUGUCAACAUUUCUCUAGGGAUGAUUCCCGUAGUAUAGAUAGCGUUGAAUAGUUCUACUAUUAUGUCCAGGUUUUUCUCGUUGACCAACUUUAUCAGCUCGCUAGGUAAUUCAUCUGGACCAGCAGAUUUAUUGGUUUUCAUAGAGUCUAUUGCCUGGCUAACCUCUGAUUUGGUUAUCUCUGGGCCCACAUCUCCGGUUUGGCUAUCUACGGAUGUACUAGCUUCUCUCUGGUCAUGAAAUAGUUCCUCUAUGUAUUCUUUCCAUCGUUGUAGUUUUCGUUCUGUCUCCAUUAUAAUAUUUCCAUUUUUGUCGAGCAAUAUAUUUGAGGUUUUCUAUUUCCUAUUCCGGCUAAUUCUUUGACUUUUUUAUGUAGAUUGAAGUUGUCAUAUCUGUUUUGCAGUUCUUAUAUUUCUUUACAUUUUUCAGAGAAGUAAGUUUCUUUAGCCUCCCUAAUUUUUCUUCUUAUUUGGUUUUGAAGCUGUUUAUAGCUGGUCUUAUUGAUGGUUUUGUUUUUUCUUUUUUCAUUCAUCAUCUCUAGAAUUUCCUCAGUCAUCCAUUCUUCUUUCUUACAUUUGGUUGUUGUAAGUACUUUCUUACUUGGCUCUAAUAUAUAGGUUUUGAAGAAUUGCCACUGCUGUUCUACGUUGCAAUUAUUUCCUGGGUUUCUGUCUAGAUUUGUGUUGAUUUCGUGUUUCAGAUUUUCUUUUGUUUCUUCUGACUUUAGUUUCUGUAUGUUAAGUUUAUUGUUGUUGCGGCUUUUUUGCGUCUUUUUAGUUGAAGUUGAAACCUAGCAAUACGAAGACUGUGAUCAGAAGAUACGUCCGCUCCUGAAUAUGCCUUUACUGCCUGAAUUGAGUUUCGAUAUCUGUGCUUUAUUAGGAUGUAGUCGAUUUGAUUUCUGACGAUUUUGUUGUCUUUGUCAGCUGGCGAUUUCCAUGUAUAAAGGCGUCGCUUAGGUAAUUUAAAGAAUGUAUUUGCUGCUAUAACAUUAUGCUCCUGGCAAAAUUCUAAUAGGCGAUCCCCUCUGUCGUUUCGUUCGCCAAGCCCAUAUGGUCCUACAUUAGGGUAGCUAUGAUGUGUUAAAAGUAUCUUACUGAUGUGCGCAAUUAGAGCAAUUGUGCGAUAGUUGAUACUUAAUUCUUUCGCUUCCUUUUUAUAAAUGAGGACUCUUCUUCUCGAUGUGCCUAUCCGUGACGAAUGUUGGCGACCAUCAUGGCAAUCUUUAUCUGCAGCAACGCAGAAAAGCUGCACAGAUGUUGUGUUUAACCAGGUUCUGAGGUUCUUUAACCAGGAUAAUCUUCUUCCUAGACCUCGCUUUCCAAAUAGUUUUCCUUGCAGUACGGCUUGUAGGAGGGCAUAUCUGGAUUUAUUUCGCAUAAUGUGUCCAAAGUAUUCCAACUUUCGAGAUUUGAUGAUGGUUAGUACCUCUCGGUUCUUCCCCAUUCUUCUAAGGACCUCCUCAUUUGUAAUAUGAGGAUAAAUAUGUACAAUAUAGUGAUAAUAUAGUGAUUUUUAUCUUUAUCAAAUUGUAACUUUAAUAACUUUGUAAAUUACACGUUUUAACAAUUAUUGUUGUUCUAUUGAUACUAUUACUUCUUCUGAACAAAUAGCAUACCGUUUAUGAUGUGAUUAUAGUGUACUCAGAGAGUUCACGUGUUCAAGAAUUUAAUUUAGGUUUUGUAAAAUAUUUUGAAUUAUAUUCGCAUUUAGGGUAUACCAGUGAUAAUAAUUGAUUUCGUUUCUUUUACCCAGCUGCUCAAAUAUAAACUUUUUAUGGUAAUAUUUGACUGAAUAUGAUUAAUAAGUUCUGAAUCUUAUAAAAAAUUAAUUAUUUUCCUGUUUGGUUAACCGAUCAGAAUAUUACAAAGUAAAUACCGUUGUUAUAUGUAAAAAGACAAUUUUAUCUACGUUUCCUUCUAUUUGCUAUCAAUAUUAAGGCCGUUAUCAUAUCGAACAAUAUGUUAUAUAACCUCGUUAUAGAAGUUUGGGGCCUGAUUUAGGAGCUAUUGGAACCCUACCUUUUGAGGCUGUCAACGUCGCGUCGGUCCUGAGCUGACCUCAAGAGAUGGUGUAGAACCACCUAAUAGUCACUGCUAGAUUAACGAUAUUUGGUGAUGAUAAAAUGUGUCAUACCCAAGUGAAUGUGGCAUGAAACUAUGAAUGUGGCAUGCGCGAAACACCACCGACAGCAGCGCUGUAGCGGUGGAACACAGUACUAAGAAACACGGCUCGUAAAUACUGAAGCUUGGUCAAUCACGUGAACAAAAUAAGUUACCUAAGUUUCUCGACAUUUAUUGUUUUCAACAUACCGUAGAAGCCAAAAAAUUACUAUAUAAUACGAAAUAAUUAAAUAUGUAAACUAAAUAUGAAUUGAAAUAUAUGUUCAACAUUGGGCUAAUAAAGUGGACGAAUGACGAAAGAAAAUAUUGAAAAUUAUUAAAGUAUCAUAUAUUUAUAAAUAUUAUCAUAUUCCAUUUAUUCUGAAGAUUACUAAUAUUUUUUUCCGAAUUAAAUAUUCUUUGAAUUAGUCUAUUAUGUUUAAUUAUUGUCUCUUGUCCUACUUGUCCAACUUUUCAUACUUUUUUUUAUUAUUUUUAAUAUAAAAUAUUUGAGCUGCUGAUUUUAUAGAAAUGAUAUCAAUACAAAAUAUAUUUUUGAUAGUACAUGUAGUUUAUAAUGAUCUGAAUAAUGUUAAAAUUGUAAUUGUGAUGCAAUUAUAGUGCCACGUUUUAGUGCCUCAAAUAAAAAAUAUCGUAUAAUUCUUUUUAUACAGUGACAUUUAUAAAUUAAAUAAUAAAUAGUAGUGUUACAAAA
RNAcentral lists this unclassified non-coding RNA (22855 nucleotides) under Diabrotica virgifera virgifera (western corn rootworm). RNAcentral's name for it is "uncharacterized LOC114342396". Lineage: Eukaryota; Metazoa; Arthropoda; Insecta; Coleoptera; Chrysomelidae. The record is from RNAcentral.